Molecule: long non-coding RNA, 1117 nt
Filed under: Homo sapiens (human)
Lineage: Eukaryota; Metazoa; Chordata; Mammalia; Primates; Hominidae
Description: HSALNT0390896
Source: RNAcentral
UGACGGCGCCCGCGACCACGACAAGGAUGGCGACCAUCUCUUCGGAAGCCUAACGAUCCAGCACAGGUCCCAGCCCUGCGCAGCCGCCCGCCAAGCCGCCAGAGGACCAGCCGAACGCCAAAGGCUAGGAGUGGACGAUUGCAGGAAGUUUCCAACUCGCCGACUUCGCCCCACUCCACUGGCUCCGGCUUGGCGGUCCCCGGCUUCGGGGUGCCCUCCGUCCCUCCCCCUCGCGUCGUCGCGUUCUCCCUUGGCAUAACCCCCCGCCGCGGGGCCGCAGACCCCCUAAGCGCUUCGUGCGCUCUCCGCGCCCUGCCCACCGGCCCCGACCCCUCCCCCGACCGGACGGGAGAGGUGGGAAGUUUGGGGGCACCCGCUGUGGGUGUCCCAUUUGCGGGGCUGGGCUCCGGGGAGCCGGCGCGCGGCGCCCGCUCCCUGCCCGCCAGCCGUUUGGGAGCUCAGGCGCGGGCAGCCGCUUUUGUUCCCGGGAAGGGCGGAGCUGCGUCCCGGGGAGACACGCGUUGCAGCCGGCAGCGUAGUUGCUCCCCGCUGGCCGGCCGCUCCGGGAGGGCCCCGCAGCGGAGGGUCGGGGCUGGGGCGGGCUGGGGAGGGGGCCCAGGGCUGGGGCCGGUUCGGCCUCCCGGGUGGCGCGCGGGCCGAGGAGCUAGGAGGACCGCCGCGCCGCUUGUCCUUUGGAUAAACCUUGGCGGUUCCUCCUCUGGUGUCCGUGGACCCCGCCGCGGCGUUCUCCAGGGCCGCGGACCUUUGCCCACCGGUUGCGCCCGCUGCCCCGGGCAGAAAGGACCCCCCUCCUCCCGGACCGAGCCCCGAGCCCCAUGGAGCAGGCAAGGGCCAGAGUCCCGGGGCCGAGGCCCGACCGGCGGACGCUCCGGGACCUUUUCCCGCCCCCGAGGGUGCAUGUCCGGCCGGGGCCGGGACUGGCUGGGAAACCGAGGCCAGAAGAGGUCGCAAUCCAGCGAGGAAUCGGAUGUGGACCUUGCCUGGUGAGAGUCCCGCUCGGAUUUCCCCAGGGCCCCUCCACCGCGCAGCAGGGGUGUCUGCGCUGGGCCCAGGCAUUCACCAGGGCCUGCAGGCUGCCAGCCUGGAGUUUCCCUAG